AAUUGAAGAGUUUGAUCAUGGCUCAGAUUGAACGCUGGCGGCAGGCCUAACACAUGCAAGUCGAGCGGCAGCGGGAAAGUAGCUUGCUACUUUUGCCGGCGAGCGGCGGACGGGUGAGUAAUGCCUGGGGAUCUGCCCAGUCGAGGGGGAUAACUACUGGAAACGGUAGCUAAUACCGCAUACGCCCUACGGGGGAAAGCAGGGGACCUUCGGGCCUUGCGCGAUUGGAUGAACCCAGGUGGGAUUAGCUAGUUGGUGAGGUAAUGGCUCACCAAGGCGACGAUCCCUAGCUGGUC
RNAcentral lists this ribosomal RNA (296 nucleotides) under Aeromonas hydrophila. RNAcentral describes it as "partial 16S ribosomal RNA". It matches the Rfam family "Bacterial small subunit ribosomal RNA", at positions 1 to 292 of the family's 1533-position model. The record is from RNAcentral. Lineage: Bacteria; Pseudomonadati; Pseudomonadota; Gammaproteobacteria; Aeromonadales; Aeromonadaceae.